This 247-nucleotide ribosomal RNA is filed under the name uncultured bacterium. RNAcentral's name for it is "partial 16S ribosomal RNA". It matches the Rfam family "Bacterial small subunit ribosomal RNA", at positions 523 to 769 of the family's 1533-position model. The record is from RNAcentral.
AUACGGAGGGUGCAAGCGUUAUCCGGAUUUAUUGGGUUUAAAGGGUGCGUAGGCGGUUUGAUAAGUCAGCGGUGAAAUAUUUCAGCUUAACUGGAAGGGUGCCGUUGAUACUGUCGAGCUUGAAUUUAGUUGCUGUGGGUGGAAUGCGUGGUGUAGCGGUGAAAUGCAUAGAUAUCACGCAGAACUCCGAUUGCGAAGGCAGCUUACUAAGCUACAACUGACACUGAAGCACGAAAGCGUGGGGAUC